GACGAACGCUGGCGGCGUGCUUAACACAUGCAAGUCGAACGCUGAAGACCUGGCUUUUGUUGGGUUGGAUGAGUGGCGAACGGGUGAGUAACACGUGAGUAACCUGCCUUCUUCUUUGGGAUAACGCCCGGAAACGGGUGCUAAUACUGGAUAUUCAAUGAUCUUCGCAUGGGGGUUGGUGGAAAGGUUUGUUCUGGUGGGUGAUGGGCUCGCGGCCUAUCAGCUUGUUGGUGGGGUGAUGGCCUACUAAGGCUUUGACGGGUAGCCGGCCUGAGAGGGUGACCGGUCACAUUGGGACUGAGAUACGGCCCAGACUCCUGCGGGAGGCAGCAGUGGGGAAUAUAGCACAAUGGGCGAAAGCCUGAUGCAGCGACGCCGCGUGAGGGAUGGAGGCCUUCGGGUUGUAAACCUCUUUCGCGCAUGGUCAAGCCGCAACUGUGGGUUGUGGUGAGGGUAGUGGGUAAAGAAGCGCCGGCUAACUACGUG
This 486-nucleotide ribosomal RNA is filed under the name uncultured bacterium. RNAcentral describes it as "partial 16S ribosomal RNA". It matches the Rfam family "Bacterial small subunit ribosomal RNA", at positions 28 to 507 of the family's 1533-position model. The record is from RNAcentral.